ACUGCUCUCCCAGCAAAGGCAAGAAUGACAAUGAUGAAUUAAUAUUUUAUUUAUUUUUUAGUUUAACCCACCUGUACUGUGAACGAGGCAAGUUUUAGGUUCAGAUCACCAAUCAUAAAUUACAAUAAAGAGUUGGCAAUGACAUCUGGCUUCUACAGUUAUGCCAAGCUGGCAAAGAAUGCCACUGAAUAUGCUCGAAGGAUGAAUCGACUGAGCAGCCGCAUUUUUGGCGAGAUGGUGCCUACAGCUAACUCCCAAAGGUCAAUCAAAGUUAUGCAGCUGCUUUCUGAACAGCCACGGUACAAAGAUCCUCAACUUGUGGACUACUAUCCUCGCUUUCGCGAGACCUACUAUCUAAUGCUCCAUCUGCGAGAACUGGGCCUGUACCGUGACGAGCAUUGGGACUUCAGUGACGAGAUGAAGCGACUGCGUCGGUUGCGUGGCAAGGGACCACCGCCCAAGGGACAAGGAAAGCGGGCUUCCAGGUAGCGGUGAUACGCUUGAUGUAAACUUUUGCAUCUCAGAUGCGAGUGCUUGUUUGUAACAUAAAUGUCUUGUGCGUAUGGAUGCUCGGUAAAUGUAUGCAACCUUUGGUUGUCUUAGCUAAUACAAUGAUUUUUUUUUUGUCCAAGAAGCGGGAACAUUUGCA
Amphibalanus amphitrite is the source of this 649-nucleotide long non-coding RNA. RefSeq lists it as uncharacterized. Lineage: Eukaryota; Metazoa; Arthropoda; Thecostraca; Balanomorpha; Balanidae. The transcript has 2 exons. The record is from RefSeq and is a predicted model, not a curated record.